Long non-coding RNA from Oncorhynchus tshawytscha (Chinook salmon), 629 nucleotides. NCBI's taxonomy places the organism in Eukaryota, Metazoa, Chordata, Actinopteri, Salmoniformes, Salmonidae. The record is from Ensembl.
UACUACUACUACUACUACUACUACUACUAUUACUACUGUUACUACUACUACUACUACUACUACUACUACUAGACUAAUGAUACUAGACUACUGCUGCUACACCUGGCUUUCUCUGGGACUAGGUGGUGGCUGGGUGGACUAGGUGGUGGCUGGGUGGACUAGGUGGUGGGUGGACUGGGUGGACUAGGUGGUGGCUGGGUGGACUAGGUGGUGGGUGGACUAGGUGGUGGGUGGACUAGGUGGUGGCUGGGUGGACUAGGUGGUGGGUGGACUAGGUGCUGGGUGGACUAGGUGCUGGGUGGACUAGGUGGUGGCUGGGUGGAAUAAGUGGUGGUUGGGUGGACUAGGUGUUGGCAGGGUGGACUAAGUGGUGGGUGGACUAGGUGCUUGCUGGGUGGACUAGGUGCUUGCUGGGUGGACUAGGUGCUGGUUGGGUGGACUAGGUGGUGGCUGGGUGGACUAGGUGGUGGGUGGACUAGGUGCUUGCUGGGUGGACUAGGUGCUUGCUGGGUGGACUAGGUGCUGGUUGGGUGGACUAGGUGGUGGCUGGGUGGACUAGGUGGUGGGUGGACUAGGUGGUGGCUGGGUUGACUAGGUGGUGGUUGACUGACUGCCUGUAUGAGCUAGAG